UAUAGUUUUUAAGAAAUAAAAUUAAAAAAAUCAUGUAAUACUACAUCAGUGUUAUGUUAUUGUAUGACUUCAUCUUUUAUACAGUCGGGUUCGGGGUUUCGGGCAGCCAUAGCGAAUUUCGGCAAGAUUUUACCCCAGUGAAAAAGGCUUGUAAUCCACAGUGAUCAACCAAGAUGUUGUUUCACUGGGUUAUUUAAUUGGGCAUAUAAUUGGACAAUUCUGGAUCAGCUGAGAUGUAAUCAAUCACUGGAUUAUUUAAUGCAUAGGCUAAUUGGGCAUAUAGUUGAAAAUCUCUGGUAAGUUUGUCUUGUUUUUUUUUAAUUGUUUAUACAUUUCCUAUGAUGGUCAUCUUUGCAUUUAAGCAUGAUUAUAUGGUUAAUUUUAUUACUGUAUAAUACUUAUGUGAUCUGAUAUCUCUAACUUACAUUCAUAUAAACACACCCUUAUUUAACCUAAAAUAUAUUAACCCAUGAUUAAGGGAUCUUCAGAAUAUUAAUAAGUCCUUUUGUAUAAAUUAUAUGAUAUAAUUUCAUAAUUCAUUAUGUAUGUUACCCAUGGCCAUGGAAUUCAGACUUACUAAAUGGUGAUCAAAGAGAUAUUAAUUAGGAAUCUAAUAAGAGAAAAGGAAGAAUUUACAAAAGAUUAAUCACAAUAGUUAUUUACUUUUUGUUUUGAUUCUAAAUAUGUGGGAUAUAUGGCAUACAUAUAUUUUCAUUUUCACUUUUGUUUCUUAGUAAUGAGCUUUUCAAAAAAUUAAGGACUACAUGUUGUACUUUGAUGAUGCUAAAAAAGAUGUAUUUUUCUGUAUGCAGUACUGACAGAUAUUAAA
Long non-coding RNA from Saccostrea cuccullata (small rock oyster), 829 nucleotides. RefSeq lists it as uncharacterized. The record is from RefSeq and is a predicted model, not a curated record. The transcript is spliced from 3 exons. Lineage: Eukaryota; Metazoa; Mollusca; Bivalvia; Ostreida; Ostreidae.